Patiria miniata (bat star) is the source of this 1103-nucleotide long non-coding RNA. RefSeq lists it as uncharacterized. The record is from RefSeq and is a predicted model, not a curated record. Lineage: Eukaryota; Metazoa; Echinodermata; Asteroidea; Valvatida; Asterinidae. The transcript has 3 exons.
AGUCAAUUAUCAAGCCUUGAAACAACGUCCGCGUUCGCGGGCGUAUUUUUUUAAAAAAAAAUUGCGAAAUACAAUCAAUGCAAGAAAGAAAAAUUGUGAAGGCCUUGGAACUUGAAGACUAGUCUUGCAAAUAUCUAUUUCGUUGGCAAUCAUUUUGUGAAACGGAACGAUCGGUCACCUUUGGAAAGUGCGGUGGGUGCCAGCGAAUCUAAAACCGUACCCAGCUAAUCACCGCCCUCAAUAAACCAAACCUCGCGUGAAAAGACUCGCACAUCAACGGUAAACAAACAAGAGUCCGAGUGUUGACUACCGCUGCAUCAUCCAUGCAGGAAACAGUCUGGCUUUUGUGUCAUGUACUGUGUUGUCAUCCCCGAAUGCACGCAUGGUCGCACACGGGCUUUUCUGCACCAACUUGACAUCUCGUCCGUGCAACUGCUGCAAUUUAUUCCCAAACGUUUCACACUUUUUCUCCGUGCAUGAAAAAUGAUGAAAUGAACCUGGUUAUCCAACUCGAUUUUCGGGACUACAAUCAAAGAAACUGAUUUGCAGUGCAACCUAGACCUGUGCGCGACUGUCUGCUUAGUGCCAGUCACGGUGUAUGUGCGGGACAUGUGCGGAAACUAUUACUGUUCGAUGGAGCUGAACAAUUUCUAUUGAUUCGUCCAUUCAGCAAAUCGUCUGGUCGACUGGGCUUGGGGCUGUGAUUUUAAUGGCGGAUAUUACAAUCCUCGAACGAGGAAACUGACAGCAUUCGUCCCAUUGCGUACUAAAUGCGAACGUCCUCUAGAAUAAAGGUACCAACGCUAUUGUCAGCUUCCACGAAGUGACGAUCAAUGAACAGCACUGAUGACAUCAGAUGGUGAACAUCUUCAUUGAAACUACUUGAGAGGGAUCUCUGGACUUGAGCAAACAGAUUUUAUGACUUUAAGGAGCUGGCCGGAUUCAGUGCCUUUUUAGCGAUUACACAGUAGAGGUAUACCGUGUCAUCGUCACAUCUCCAUAGAUCAUAAAGACACUGCCAUGAAGAAUGGCCGGUCAUUGGUGUGAGAUACUUUGGACUGCAGAUUUCUCUGUUCGAUUCCUGAACUUUACACCCAUCCAGU